This 382-nucleotide ribosomal RNA is filed under the name Enterococcus faecium. RNAcentral's name for it is "bacterial LSU rRNA". It matches the Rfam family "Bacterial large subunit ribosomal RNA", at positions 2546 to 2925 of the family's 2925-position model. Lineage: Bacteria; Bacillati; Bacillota; Bacilli; Lactobacillales; Enterococcaceae. The record is from RNAcentral.
CCUGGGGCUGUAGUCGGUCCCAAGGGUUGGGCUGUUCGCCCAUUAAAGCGGCACGCGAGCUGGGGUAAGAACGUGGUGGGACAGGUCGGGCCCAAGCCGUCGCGGGCGUUGGAGAUUUGAGAGGAGAUAUCUUUAGUACGAGAGGACCGGGAUGGACUUACCGCUGGUGUACCAGUUGUUCUGCCAAGGGCAUUGCUGGGUAGCUAUGUAGGGAAGGGAUAAACGCUGAAAGCAUCUAAGUGUGAAGCCCACCUCAAGAUGAGAUUUCCCAUUUCUUUAAGAAAGUAAGAUCCCUGAGAGAUGAUCAGGUAGAUAGGUCAGGAGUGGAAGUACAGUGAUGUAUGGAGCGGACUGAUACUAAUCGAUCGAGGACUUAACCAAU